AGAGCCCGGGGUCGGUCAAUCAGGUGCGGGCGGCUGGAGCAUGGCUUUGUGAGGCCUCUGAGGGGACCCGGCGGUGGCGGCCACGGCGGGACGGGCCGCCCACCAGUUGAACUCCGACAGCUGAGGCGGCUGAGGAGAUUAGACUCCAGAGAUAAUGAUAUUAGGAAAUCCAAACUGAAAUGGACCCCAGAGCAAUUGAAGAAAGAAAGAGUCAAGGGAGGAUCCCAACGUGGCAGGGAGGCUUGCAAGGGGAGGCCGAGGCACUGGUGCAAGCAAACUAUAAUGACUAAGGUGAGAUUGUUUACUCAGGCAACAUAUG
This 319-nucleotide long non-coding RNA is filed under the name Homo sapiens (human). Its description in RNAcentral is "HSALNT0407118". Lineage: Eukaryota; Metazoa; Chordata; Mammalia; Primates; Hominidae. The record is from RNAcentral.